RNAcentral lists this ribosomal RNA (253 nucleotides) under uncultured bacterium. Its description in RNAcentral is "partial 16S ribosomal RNA". It matches the Rfam family "Bacterial small subunit ribosomal RNA", at positions 524 to 776 of the family's 1533-position model. The record is from RNAcentral.
UACGAAGGAUCCAAGCGUUGUCCGGAUUUACUGGGUUUAAAGGGUGCGUAGGCGGACUUUUAGGUCAGUGGUGAAAGCCUGUAGCUUAACUAUAGAAUUGCCAUUGAAACUGAAAGUCUCGAGUGUGGUUGAGGUAACUGGAAUAUAUCAUGUAGCGGUGAAAUGCUUAGAUAUGAUAUAGAACACCAAUUGCGAAGGCAGGUUACUGAGCCAUUACUGACGCUGAGGCACGAAAGCGUGGGGAUCAAACAGG